AUUGAACGCUUGCGGCAGGCCUAACACAUGCAAGUCGAACGAGUGGCGGACGGGUGAGCAAUUUCUGGGAAACUGCCUGACGGAGGGGGACAAUUACCGGAAACGGCAGCUAAUACCGCUUACCUUCGUUCGUGCCCAGAUGGGAUUAGGUAGUAGGUGGGCGAACGGCUUACCUAGGCGACGAACCCUAGCUGGUCUGAGAGGAUGACGAGCCACGCUGGAGCUGAGCACCGGUCCAGACUCCUACGGGAGGCGGAGGUGGGGAAUAUUGCAUAAUGGGCGCAAGCCUGGUGAAGGCGUGCCGCGAGUAUGAAGAAGGCCUUCGGGUUGUAAAGUACUUUCAGCGAGGAGGCGUUACUCGCAGAAGAAGCACCGGCUAACUCCGUGCCAGCAGCCGCGGUAAUUC
Molecule: ribosomal RNA, 406 nt
Filed under: uncultured bacterium
Lineage: Bacteria
Description: partial 16S ribosomal RNA
Rfam family: Bacterial small subunit ribosomal RNA
Source: RNAcentral